UAGUUUAAACAUUCAAAAACUAAAACAUAAAUAUUAGUAGAGUGGCUAAACAUACAAAACAUUAUGUCAAAAUAAUAGGUUCAUGAAAUAUCUAAAUAUUCCGAAGUAUUUGAUGUUGCUUCAUGAUCCUUAAUUAGUGCUAGCUAGACUCACUUAAGAAGGAAUGCCUAACAUCUCUUGGGGAUUGUAUGUUUGUUGCCUGAAAAAACAUACAAGACAAUGAUUAGCAAUAUCCAAGUACUCCUAACACUCAACUAAAAACCAGUGACACAACAAAUAAUCAUAUAUUGAUCCACCACCUAUAAUCAUGUUUUAGUAAACAAACACCUAAAGCUAAAAAUUGUUGGUAAUCAAAUUACAUGAUACAUUUUAUAAAAACAUUUUUUUCAAAACUAUUUUACAAAAGGGAUAUUAAAAACUAAAAUCCAAAACAGUAUCAAUUAGACCUUGAAAAAUACUUUCAAAUUUAGUUUUAAUGCAUAUUAUAUCACAUAGGAUCAAGCUCUCCUUAUAUGAACUCUAGAUGGUAAAAAGUAGUCCAUGAAACAUAUGAAUGUAUACAAUAAACGUGAAUAAAAUUCAAGUCACAUGAGCUAAAUAUAAAUAUUACAAAAUAAAGUACACAUAAUAAUCAUAUCAGGAUGCAGGAGAUUCAGUUAUUUCAAACAAGAGAUUAACCUUCAGAAAAUGCAAAGCAGUUCCAAGAUAUGACAAUAUCACAAAAGAUUUUGGGUUGAUUUGGAAAGCCAUAGGAAAAUGAUGUUCUGAGAACUCAAUUGCGCAUUACCAAAAUAUUUUAAGAUACGUAGUGAUGUCAUACCAAUUGCGCAUUACCAAAAUAAGUGACUGAAGCUCAACUAAAUCCAGAUGCAUAAC
This 876-nucleotide long non-coding RNA is filed under the name Trifolium pratense (red clover). RNAcentral's name for it is "long non-coding RNA (TPRA_LNC013843)". Lineage: Eukaryota; Viridiplantae; Streptophyta; Magnoliopsida; Fabales; Fabaceae. The record is from RNAcentral.